Molecule: ribosomal RNA, 441 nt
Filed under: uncultured bacterium
Lineage: Bacteria
Description: partial 16S ribosomal RNA
Rfam family: Bacterial small subunit ribosomal RNA
Source: RNAcentral
CCUACGGGUGAGCUGCAGUGGGGGAUAUUGCACAAUGGGGGAAACCCUGAUGCAGCGACGCCGCGUGAGUGAAGAAGUAUUUCGGUAUGUAAAGCUCUAUCAGCUGGGAAGAAAAUGACAGUACCUGACCAAGAAGCCCCGGCUAAAUACGUGCCAGCAGCCGCGGUAAUACGUAGGGGGCACGCGUUAUCCGGAUUGACUGGGGGUAAAGGGAGGGUAGACGGGUAUGUAAGUCUGGAGUGAAAGCCCGGGGCCCAACCCCGGGACUGCGUUGGAAACGGUGUAACUGGAGUACAGGAAGGGCAGGCGGAAUUCAUGGUGUAGCGGUGAAAUGCGUAGAUAUCAGGAGGAACACCGGCGGCGAAGGCGGCCUGCUGGACUGAAACUGACGUUGAGGCUCGAAAGCGUGGGGAGCAAACAGGAUUAGAUACCCGAGUAGUC